Molecule: ribosomal RNA, 255 nt
Filed under: uncultured bacterium
Lineage: Bacteria
Description: partial 16S ribosomal RNA
Rfam family: Bacterial small subunit ribosomal RNA
Source: RNAcentral
UACAGAGGAGCCAAGCGUUGUCCGGAUUGACUGGGCGUAAAGCGCACGUAGGCGGAUGUGUCAGUCAGGGGUGAAAUCCCGGAGCUCAACUUCGGAACUGCCCUUGAUACAGCACGUCUUGAGUCCGGAAGAGGUGGGUGGAAUUCCUAGUGUAGAGGUGAAAUUCGUAGAUAUUAGGAAGAACACCGGUGGCGAAGGCGGCCCACUGGUCCGGUACUGACGCUGAGGUGCGAAAGCGUGGGGAGCAAACAGGAU